GCCGGCGCGAUGCUGGCGCUGUGGCUGGUGGGCCUGGGGCAGAAGCUGCUGAUCUGGGGCGCGCUGGGCGCCGUCUCCGUGGCGGGAGCCACUCUUCUCCUGAGCCUCCUGCAGAUGGUGGCGAGGUGCGCGCGGCAAUGGCAGCAGUUGAGGGGCCUCCCCACGUUGCCCGGCUGCUACCCCUUGGUGGGACACGCGCUGAUGAUGAAGCCAGAAGGGAAAGAAUUUUUUCAGCAGCUAAUUUGUUACACAGAAGAAUAUCGGCAUUUUCCACUGCUGAAACUCUGGCUUGGACCAGUACCACUCUUGGCCAUUUAUAAUGCAGAAAACGUGGAGGUAAUUUUAAGUAGUUCGAGUCAAAUUGACAAAUCCUGUGUGUACAAGUUCCUAGAACCAUGGCUUGGCCUGGGACUCCUUACCAGUACUGGAAACAAGUGGCGAUCUAGGAGAAAAUUGUUAACACCCACUUUCCAUUUUACAAUUCUGGAAGAUUUCUUAGAUGUCAUGAAUGAACAAGCAAAUGUAUUGGUUAAUAAGCUUGAAAAACAUGUUAACCAAGAAGCCUUUAACUGCUUUUUUUACAUCACUCUUUGUGCCUUAGAUAUAAUUUGUGAAACAGCCAUGGGGAAGAACGUUGGAGCUCAAAGUAAUGAUGAUUCCGAGUACGUCCGUGCAAUUUAUAGGAUGAGUGAUUUGAUAUCUCGAAGAAUGAGGAUGCCGUGGCUCUGGCUUGACUUUUUGUUUCUUAUGUAUAAAGAAGGAUGGGAACACAAAAGGAACCUGAAGAUCCUACAUGAUUUUACCAAUAAGGUCAUCUCUGAACGGGCCAAGGAACUGAAGAGAGACGAAGAACACAGAAGUGGUGACAAGGACUCUUCCCCCUCCAAGAAUAAACGCAGGGCUUUUCUUGACUUGCUUUUAAAUGUGACUGAUGAUGAAGGGAACAAGCUAAGUCACGAAGAGGUUCGAGAAGAAGUGGACACUUUCAUGUUUGAGGGCCAUGACACGACUGCAGCAGCAAUAAACUGGUCCUUAUAUCUAUUGGGUUCUUACCCAGAAGUCCAGAAACACGUGGACAGUGAACUGGAGGAAGUGUUUGGAAAGUCUGAUCGUCCUGCUACCGUAGAAGACCUGAAGAAACUUAGAUACCUGGAAUGUGUCAUUAAGGAGAGCCUCCGCCUUUUUCCUUCUGUCCCCUUAUUUGCCCGCAAUCUUACUGAAGAUUGUGAAGUUGCGGGUUACAAAAUUGUGAAAGGCGCUCAAGCAAUCAUCGUUCCCUAUGCACUGCAUAGAGAUCCAAGAUACUUCCCAAAUCCUGAGGAAUUCCAGCCGGAACGGUUCUUUCCUGAGAAUUUGCAAGGACGCCACCCAUUCGCAUAUGUGCCUUUCUCUGCUGGACCCAGAAACUGUAUAGGUCAAAAAUUUGCCACAAUGGAAGAAAAGGUCGUUCUCUCCUGCAUCCUGAGACACUUUUGGGUAGAAUCCAACCAGAAAAGAGAAGAACUUGGUCUGGCGGGAGAGCUGAUCCUUCGUCCAACGAGUGGCAUCUGGAUCAAGCUGACGAGGAGAAACGGAGAUGCGUCCUAACCACAGUCCUGGGCUGUGCCCUUGUCACGUGAACGGUCUUUCUUGAAAGGAACUGGAUUUACGAUUUCUAGAUCUGGGUUCAAUACUCUGAGUCCCCAGACCUAUUUUUUUUUUCUUGUCCCCACUUCUGUUGGGAUCAAGCUCCCCAAAGAGUUUUUAUAUUUGCAUCACGACCAUAGGUCUUAGCCCUGGUCUCGAUCCCCAAAGUAGAGUUAACCAGUGACGACACCCAAGUAAACAUAUGAUAGGUUUCUCAGCAGAGGGAUCCACAGGCCAAUUCAAUUCAAUUGGCACACCGAAAGAAUAUAAUUUAAUUGAGAUUCCAGAAGUUUUUAAAGGUAGUCUUACUGACUGGGGAACACGUAUAUGCAUGUACACAUAUGUAUUUAAUUCGAAAAGCGUGGGUAAUUAAGUACUUAGACCCAAGAAGCUCAAGUUUUAAAAUUAUAUGAGUGACAUCAAAUAUGAGAAGAAGAAUUAUUAUGGCACUUUUCAGAUAUAUUGCCUGGACUUGAUAAUUUUUUAAGUUGACUCAUAAGUUCUGUUCCUGUUUCCCUUUUGACCAGGUGCCGAUAGCCGUGACUUCAUUAUCCAUAGCAUCACAACUAGCCUUAUAUAUCAUACACAGUUGGGGAAGAUGCCUCUCGUGGCCCUGCCCUGGAUGUGAAAUUAAAGUAAAACAUUGCUUAAUGUUACCUUUUGGCCUGAGAUCUUCAUGUAGCUCCAGAAUAAUUUGUUAUUUGUGUUUUAGUUGGAAACUCUCGUAACCGUGUUAGAGGGAGAAUGGUCUAUGGUAUCAAAAUGCAGAUGCUGAUUUUUUUUUUUAAUAAGAGAAUAAUCAAGUAUCUAUGACCCUAUUACUCGUCUAACUGCUGCUUGAAAGAGACUGAUGCUGAGUCUUCCUGAGUCUGAAGAAUUAACUGGACACGAAGUAGAGAUCCCAGCACAGUUUGCUCGGCUGAUAGCAGCAAGUGAAAUCUCCUAGAGGGGCCUGGGAAUCAGCAAAACCACAAGCAUCAUUGGAACCCAGCAUUGCAGGCUGGAAACCUCUCCAGGUGACGGGCUAGUGAACUGACUGAUGCUGUGUUCAUUGUCACAGACAACAAAAGAAUGUCAGUUUCUGGACCAAACGACCUGUCUUACAACGAAAGAGGUGCUGCCUGUGCGGCACGCGCACGCGCACGCACACACGCGCACACACCCACACACACACACACACACACACACACACUGUAUCUAGAAGAUCAAAACAUUUUGCUUUCCAGCAUCUAAAGAGGUGCUGGUAGGAACAUGACAAAUUUUUGAGUCUGCCUAGAAACCUCCCUCCUUUUUUUAGGAACAGUACCUCCUUUAUCUUUGAAACUGUCCCAUGAUCAAUACCUCCCCCAAUUUUCUUCUGUUUCUCGCCUUUUUGCUUCCCCAACAUAUAUACACGCUGUAAAUAUACAGUUCUCGUUGAUGACGCCAUGUUCUCAGGCAAUCUCACCGUCUUAAGUGGACUGACCCAAGCAGGGUCCGCUCAGAUUCUCCCCUUGGGAAUCGAUGGAGGUUUCAGGUUGUGAGACUGGGGAUCAGUUGGCAGUUGAAGCUCUGGGAAGAAGGUGCAGGGGAGAGAAGAUGCACAGAAAAGAAACGGAGAGAAUCCUGGAGGCUCUGAGUCCUACAUUCCCGGGGAUGGGCAAGUUCAGCUACACGCCCGCCCUGUGCACUGUUCAAUUGUUCACCUGCACGCUGGAGCCCAGGCGCCAGGGUAUUGCCAUUUUGUUUAGGUUGAUCGUCUUUCAUUUCUAACCCAAAGCCAGUUAGUGUUUGUGAGCUCAGCUGCAGGAAGGAGAAAGGUGCUCUAUUCUUCGGACGUGGUCUUCUGUCCUCAUCCUCUUUCCUUUGUGCUGUUCACUACUUCUCCUCCAGGCUGGAUAACCUCAGCCGAUAACAUAUGUCUGCUAGUCAUUGAAAUGUGAUAGGAUUUUUAAAAAUUAAGAUUUAAUUGACAUUAUAUUAGUUGCAGGUGCAUAACAGUGAUUUGAUAUUUGUAUGUGUACGAAGUGAAAAAUGCAAUAGCGUUUGAGGAAAUGCAGAGUUCCCAUCGUUUCUAGAUGGUAGGAAAAUUAAAAGGCCCCUGCUUUAUCUUAGAACAAAUUGGGAUUAGCCUAACACAAGGGUCUAGUUUCUUAGCCCCAUCCUGAUGUAUUGCCCAGGCUAAUUUGUCUUUUUUUUUCUUGCUUUCAUUAAACGAGAUUCACCCCCA
Neofelis nebulosa (Clouded leopard) is the source of this 3835-nucleotide RNA transcript. It is a transcript of the gene named cytochrome P450 4V2, with no coding region annotated. Lineage: Eukaryota; Metazoa; Chordata; Mammalia; Carnivora; Felidae. The record is from RefSeq and is a predicted model, not a curated record. The transcript has 13 exons.